GUCAGGAUGGCCGAGUGGUCUAAGGCGCCAGACUCAAGGUGCGUACCUUGCUUGUGAGCAUUCUGGUCUCCGAAUGGAGGCGUGGGUUCGAAUCCCACUUCUGACA
This is a transfer RNA of Loxodonta africana (African savanna elephant), 106 nucleotides long. It matches the Rfam family "tRNA". From Rfam's summary of the family: Transfer RNA (tRNA) molecules are approximately 80 nucleotides in length. NCBI's taxonomy places the organism in Eukaryota, Metazoa, Chordata, Mammalia, Proboscidea, Elephantidae. The record is from Rfam.